Molecule: ribosomal RNA, 373 nt
Filed under: uncultured bacterium
Lineage: Bacteria
Description: bacterial SSU rRNA
Rfam family: Bacterial small subunit ribosomal RNA
Source: RNAcentral
UAAUACGGAGGGUGCAAGCGUUAUCCGGAUUCACUGGGUUUAAAGGGUGCGUAGGCGGACAGGUAAGUCAGUGGUGAAAUCUCUGGGCUUAACUCAGAAACUGCCGUUGAUACUAUCUGUCUUGAAUAUCCUGGAGGUAAGCGGAAUAUGUCAUGUAGCGGUGAAAUGCUUAGAUAUGACAUAGAACACCGAUAGCGAAGGCAGCUUACUACAGGAUGAUUGACGCUGAGGCACGAAAGCGUGGGGAGCAAACAGGAUUAGAUACCCUGGUAGUCCACGCCCUAAACUAUGGAUACUCGACAUCAGCGAUACACUGUUGGUGUCUGAGCGAAAGCAUUAAGUAUCCCACCUGGGAAGUACGACCGCAAGGUUG